This 292-nucleotide ribosomal RNA is filed under the name uncultured bacterium. Its description in RNAcentral is "partial 16S ribosomal RNA". It matches the Rfam family "Archaeal small subunit ribosomal RNA", at positions 455 to 747 of the family's 1478-position model. The record is from RNAcentral.
GUGCCAGCCGCCGCGGUAAUACCAGCACCCCGAGUGGUCGGGACGUUUAUUGGGCCUAAAGCAUCCGUAGCCGGUUCUACAAGUCUUCCGUUAAAUCCACCUGCUUAACAGAUGGGCUGCGGAAGAUACUAUAGAGCUAGGAGGCGGGAGAGGCAAGCGGUACUCGAUGGGUAGGGGUAAAAUCCGUUGAUCCAUUGAAGACCACCAGUGGCGAAGGCGGCUUGCCAGAACGCGCUCGACGGUGAGGGAUGAAAGCUGGGGGAGCAAACCGGAUUAGAUACCCCUGUAGUCC